RNAcentral lists this ribosomal RNA (1039 nucleotides) under Bacillus subtilis. Its description in RNAcentral is "bacterial SSU rRNA". It matches the Rfam family "Bacterial small subunit ribosomal RNA", at positions 439 to 1470 of the family's 1533-position model. The record is from RNAcentral. Lineage: Bacteria; Bacillati; Bacillota; Bacilli; Caryophanales; Bacillaceae.
UUAGGGAAGAACAAGUACCGUUCGAAUAGGGCGGUACCUUGACGGUACCUAACCAGAAAGCCACGGCUAACUACGUGCCAGCAGCCGCGGUAAUACGUAGGUGGCAAGCGUUGUCCGGAAUUAUUGGGCGUAAAGGGCUCGCAGGCGGUUUCUUAAGUCUGAUGUGAAAGCCCCCGGCUCAACCGGGGAGGGUCAUUGGAAACUGGGGAACUUGAGUGCAGAAGAGGAGAGUGGAAUUCCACGUGUAGCGGUGAAAUGCGUAGAGAUGUGGAGGAACACCAGUGGCGAAGGCGACUCUCUGGUCUGUAACUGACGCUGAGGAGCGAAAGCGUGGGGAGCGAACAGGAUUAGAUACCCUGGUAGUCCACGCCGUAAACGAUGAGUGCUAAGUGUUAGGGGGUUUCCGCCCCAUAGUGCUGCAGCUAACGCAUUAAGCACUCCGCCUGGGGAGUACGGUCGCAAGACUGAAACUCAAAGGAAUUGACGGGGGCCCGCACAAGCGGUGGAACAUGUGGUUUAAUUCGUUGCAACGCGAAGAACCUUACCAGGUCUUGACAUCCUCUGACAAUCCUAGAGAUAGGACGUCCCCUUCGGGGGCAGAGUGACAGGUGGUGCAUGGUUGUCGUCAGCUCGUGUCGUGAGAUGUUGGGUUAAGUCCCGCAACGAGCGCAAGGCUUGAUCUUAGUUGGCAGCAUUCAGUUGGGCACUCUAAGGUGACUGCCCGUGACAAACCGGAGGAAGGUCCGGAUGACGUCAAAUCAUCAUGCCCCUUAUGACCUGGGCUACACACGUGCUACAAUUGACAGAACAAAGGGCAGCGAAACCGCGAGGUUAAGCCAAUCCCACAAAUCUGUUCUCAGUUCGGAUCGCAGUCUGCAACUCGACUGCGUGAAGCUGGAAUCGCUAGUAAUCGCGGAUCAGCAUGCCGCGGUGAAUACGUUCCCGGGCCUUGUACACACCGCCCGUCACACCACGAGAGUUUGUAACACCCGAAGUCGGUGAGGUAACCUUUAAGGAGCCAGCCGCCGAAGGUGAACAA